RNAcentral lists this ribosomal RNA (390 nucleotides) under uncultured bacterium. RNAcentral's name for it is "bacterial SSU rRNA". It matches the Rfam family "Bacterial small subunit ribosomal RNA", at positions 144 to 518 of the family's 1533-position model. The record is from RNAcentral.
UAGCCCAGGGAAACCUGGAUUAAUACCGGAUGAGACGGGACCCGCGAUGGCGGGACCCGGGAAAGGCGCUGCGGCGCCGCCGGGGGGAUGAGUCUGCGUCCCAUUAGCUAGACGGCGGGGUAACGGCCCACCGUGGCGACGAUGGGUAGCCGGCCUGAGAGGGUGGACGGCCACAUUGGAACUGAGACACGGUCCAGACUCCUACGGGAGGCAGCAGCUAAGAAUCUUCCGCAAUGGGCGAAAGCCUGACGGAGCGAACCGCCGCGUGAACGAAGAAGGCCGUGAGGUUGUAAAGUUCUUUUCGGGAGGGGGAACAACCGUGGCAGGGAAUGGCCGCGGGAUGACGUGAAUCCCGGAAUAAGCCCCGGCUAACUACGUGCCAGCCGCCGC